AUUGAACGCUGGCGGCAGGCCUAACACAUGCAAGUCGAGCGGAUGAAUGGAGCUUGCUCCUGGAUUCAGCGUCGGACGGGUGAGUAAUGCCUAGGAAUCUUCCUGGUAGUGGGGGAUAACGGCCGGAAACGGGCGCUAAUACCGCAUACGUCCUGAGGGGGAAAGUGGGGGAUCUUCGGACCUCACGCUAUCAGAUGAGCCUAGGUCGGAUUAGCUAGUUGGUGGGGUAAAGGCCUACCAAGGCGACGAUCCGUAACUGGUCUGAGAGGAUGAUCAGUCACACUGGAACUGAGACACGGUUCAGACUCCUACGGGAGGCAGCAGUGGGGAAUAUUGGACAAUGGGCGAAAGCCUGAUCCAGCCAUGCUGCGUGUGUGAAGAAGGUCUCCGGAUUGUAAAGCACUUUAAGUUGGGAGGACGGGCAGUAAGUUAAUACCUUGCUGUUUUGACGUAACCAACAGAAUAAGCACCGGCUAACUUCGUG
Molecule: ribosomal RNA, 484 nt
Filed under: uncultured bacterium
Lineage: Bacteria
Description: partial 16S ribosomal RNA
Rfam family: Bacterial small subunit ribosomal RNA
Source: RNAcentral